GCCAGGAGCGGUGGCCCGUGCCUGUAGUCCCAGCUACUCAGGAGGCUGAGGUGGGAGGAGGAUCGCUGGAGCCCAGGAGUUCUGGGCUGCAGUGCGCUAUGCCGAUUGGAUGUCCACACUAAGUUCGGCAUCAAUAUGGUGACCUCCUGGGAGCGGGGGACCACCAGGUUGCCUAAGGAGGGAUGAACCGGCUCAGGUUAGAAACGGAGCAGGUCAAAACUCCUGUGCUGAUCAGUAGUGGGAUCGUGCCUGUGAAUAGCCACUGCAUUCCAGCCUGGGCAACAUAGCGAGACCCCGUCUCUA
Callithrix jacchus (white-tufted-ear marmoset) is the source of this 303-nucleotide unclassified non-coding RNA. It matches the Rfam family "Metazoan signal recognition particle RNA". Rfam says of the family: The signal recognition particle (SRP) is a universally conserved ribonucleoprotein. The record is from Ensembl. Lineage: Eukaryota; Metazoa; Chordata; Mammalia; Primates; Cebidae.